GCUUGCUCUCCUUUCUAUAUCUCUUCACGCUACACUUCGUCAUGGCCACCACGGUCAAGAAGAAUGACGUCCCGAUCGACGUCACAUGGGAGGAUCAGCGCAACAUCUGCGUCUUCUCCCGGUUGCACCGACGUGUGCAGACGCUGAAUCGCCGCCUGAAGCUUCUGAGAGAUGACAUUGAGAAGCUCGACGACGCCAGCACCGAGGCCAUGAUCUGCGACGAGGUAAAGUACGUCUUUGGUGAGGCUUUUGUGGACGUCGAGUGCGAUCAGGCCGUAGACCUACUCGAUGAGGAGAAGCAGCGCAUUGAGUCGGAGAAGGAAGAGGUAGAGGCGGAGCUGAAGGAUCUGGACGUGGCCCUGACGGAGCUCAAGGCGCAGCUCUACGCCAAGUUUGGCUCGCAGAUUUACCUCGAGGAAAAGUAGUCGAGGUUGGUAACCCAGCGGCAGGGCCUCACUGCAUGAAUGCUGUUGGCGAAGGUCUAUGCAUAGGAUCAGCGAGAGAGAGAACAGGAAGCUCUAAAGAGAGGUGAAGAUGAAGGCAAAAAAAAGCUGUGGCACCCAUGAAGAAUGAGGAUGUCUGCAUUGUGCCCGCCCCCUUCCCCUCCCCGCCGUCAUCACCUUGUGCUGUGACCUAUUCUUCUCCAUCUAUCUCCGAUUACCCCUCUCGUUCGAAGGCAUAGGCGGCUGUAAACUCAUACCCUCUCCGUGUGUGCAUGCAUGCGUCAUCGCGGAGCGGCCUUUUCUCGUCGUCGACAUGGACCCCCCUCCUACCAGUGCCUGCGUGAGUGAACGACGGAUGAAAGUUUGCACGUAGAGUCAUGGAUUCGUUGGCCUCGUGCACGUGUAUGUGUGAGCUUGCUGUGACUGUGCGUGCAUGGAAGUCGUCGAUGUACGGACGGGGUGCAACUCUCUCUCUCUCUCUCGCCCUCCGUAUCUCCCUCGAAGAAGAACAAACAAGAAAAGAGGAAAUAUGCAAGAGGAAGUCGCCGGUCAAGCAGAGGCGCUUUCCUGUGCGAGUGCGUGGGAGUGUGUGUGUGUGUGCUUAUGCACCAAAGGGCCGUACGCGGCUUUCGCGUCCCCUCGCACACGCUUGCUGGAAUGCAUAAGUGGGAGAGAGGAUGCCUUGGUGCUGGCACGGCAGUAGUGGUCGGGGAGCAGCAGGAGAAACGCGGUAAGGGCGAGGUGGCGAGGAGGCGGUGCGAACGCACGCCCAGGAAACAGCAAAGAAAAGAACGGGCGAUGAGGCAGAGCGAUGUGGCAAGCAGAGCAACGAAAAGGGCGCAGCCGCUCUCCCUCUCGCUCGUUUUUGGUCGCUGCUUUUAUGUGACGUGCUUUGCCGUAUAUCGUGAGGGGUUACUCCCCCCCCCCCACACACACACACCGCCACCUCCAGUCGCCUCUCCCUUCUUUCCAGCCGCACUGCAUCCUCCAAAAUUAUGCGGGUAGGUCACCAUGUGCAACAUGCGACCUUACGAAGAUCACUGUGGUGCCCGCCCAUCUCUCUCUGCCGUUUUCCUUUUUUUGUUAUGGUCCUGCUACUGCCCAAUCCCUUCCCUUCUCUCUGCCCCCCUCUUACCAUGUGCGUGUGUGCGUGUGUGUGCUCUCGCGCCUGAUGGGCCGCACCUUGAGCGAAUGGAACGCGCUCUCCUGUCUUGUCUGCGCCGCUUCCUCUCAUUCGUUCUUUAG
RNAcentral lists this unclassified non-coding RNA (1688 nucleotides) under Leishmania donovani. Its description in RNAcentral is "gene:LdHU3.25.1070(CDS-product:Prefoldin_subunit_ putative)". The record is from RNAcentral. Lineage: Eukaryota; Euglenozoa; Kinetoplastea; Trypanosomatida; Trypanosomatidae.